Molecule: unclassified non-coding RNA, 283 nt
Filed under: Hevea brasiliensis (rubber tree)
Lineage: Eukaryota; Viridiplantae; Streptophyta; Magnoliopsida; Malpighiales; Euphorbiaceae
Source: RNAcentral
GAUGUAGGAAGAACACAGUUGAUAGCUUUCUUGGAACUCUUUUGGAUAUUCCUGGGAAAACAAAAGAUCAUGCAAAAGCCCGAUAUGAUUUGAAAGAGAUGGGAAUUAGAAAGAAUCUUCAUCCAAAAGAUAAUGGAGAUAACAAGAGAACAAAGUUUGCAAAAGCUUGCUUCUCAAUGAAAAAUGGAGAGAAAUCAAUAUUUGUGGAGUUUUAAAGACAGUCAAGCUACCUGAUGGCAGUGCCUCCAAUAUAUCUAGGUGUGUGCAACUGGAUGAAAGGAAA